CACUCGCAGCGCCUAAAGUCGCUACGUCGGAAACGAGAAGAGCCAAACCCGUCGAUACGGACGCGAGCGCCAUUUGUGACGCGUCGUAAGCAUUGAUCUGCUCGUGUACCUGUUCCACACAUUUCUGCUCUCGGUAAAGCACAGUGGUCCAGCAGCAGAUGUGUAAGCUCUGCCGCGGCGCGUACACGUCCUCAUUUGCCUCUUAAUGUCUUCCUCCCUAUUGAUCGUGGAGAGAAAGAGGCCCGGGAGCCCUCCGGUUUGAUCUGUGUGAACAUCCUUCCCUUAAUUCUCCUCCGCGAGUUUAAUGGCGAACACACGGGUCCCUUUUGGCAAAGGCUGCAUCAAGUGAAACGUUGAGCCGUCCGAAUCGAACGAGGUGGAGAAACAACAACGCCUCGCAAACAAAAGGGGGCCGCUGAGCCCGAGUCGGGAUUCCUCGUGACUGACCGACCCCUCGCACCAAACGACGCCUGCCGCCGGUCGCAGAGGGGCAUCGCCUACCAAUGCUUCACUUGGGGAUGUGUGUUCUUUGUGUCUCUGCUGUGUUUCAUCGAUGCCUGCGUCGUCUUGAGGAGCGGGCUGAUUGUUAUCGUCGCCUCCUCCCUCUGACUGGCGUGCAGUUGCCUGUUUAGAGACGGCUCUUGGGGGAGGUUCGGGAGGACGUCACGCCGAAGUUUUGUUCUCCACAGCUCGAGGUAGCGUCUCUCCCACUGCAAUGUUAUGCCUCGUGCCCCCGAGAUCCCGGGUAUUUCUUCCCUCCUCCCCUCCGGCACGUCUUUGAUGCUGUUUUAUUGAUAAGCUCGUCUUGAAUGCAACACACCGCAGUCAUCUCCUACCCACAGCGCGCCCCCCCCCCCGCCGUACAUCCCCGAGAGCAGAAUGGAUGCAUUCCUCACCAAAAGUUUCACUGACAAAAAUCUUGUUUUUCUUUUUUUUAAUACUGUGAGAACAUUGUACGUAUGUUUGCAGGGUGGGUUUUUCAUUAACGGCAGCACUGACGCCUGUCAAAAAAAAGAAAAAAAGAAAUCAGCUCUGGAUCUGGUGCUAAGUGUUUUUCUUAAGGUUGGCUGAAGUGCUGUAAAUAGCGCCGUCUUCUUCUUCCCCGAGGGGACACACCCACUCAGGAAGGGUGAGAGAGGGAGAGUGGCUGCGUGAUGGUCAGAGAAGCAGACAUCUCGGGGUGCUGAAAUUGAAUCUGGUCCCAAGUUUGUAGUGGAAAAGCCAAAGUGACUGGAUGGUAGAUAAUAGGUUUGCUGUAACGUCACGCCCCGCAAGAGUCCAGCUCCUGACGUCCUCCUGACAGCCAUCUUCCCAUUUCUGCCCCCGUUACACGGCUGUGCGGCCGCGGCCCGUUUUACUUCACACACUCUUAGCAUGCUCUGUGGAUUGCUCUGUUGGAUAUUGCUUUGAGUGCUGAGCUAUAAAAAGGAAUACCUGAUUUGUUAUUGAUAAAGUAAUGUUAAGAAGGUCAUAAAAAUGAAACAAAGCCCAUUUGUGUGUUUUGCCCAGUGGGAUACAGUGCCUGCCUUUUUUAUUCUCUUGUUGCAUUGUUUUAUUGUUGUAAAGCCCGUGUAAUCCUCUGCACUUAGGAAGAUAAGUGAACUGUGAAAAUAAAUAAUUAUUUGGGAGGCGUUGCAUUGUAAUUCCAUGUUUUUGGCCACAAUGCAUUUGUGAACAGCAAAACAAAGAGUGGAGAAGACACCAUUGUCUUUUAUGCAUUUUAAACACGCUUAUAAUGAAUAUAAAUCUGCUUAUAGCACAGUGUACUCAGUCAUACAAACCAAGACAUACUUAAACUGCUGUAUAACGAUAAUCACAACACAUAAUAAAGCAUUUUAUAAUCACUCAAUGUUCAUGUAAGGAAACGCUGGUCGCUCCCUGAGAUUAUUUUUAGUAAGGAUUAAAGUGUAUUUUGAUUAAAAUUGUUUUUAUAAAAAGUUAUAAUGCAUUAUAAACGCUGUUUAAUGUAGGAUAAGGGAUACUACUACUGUAAGUGGUGAUUGCUUUCUUUAAGUAACGUGAAAAAACAUCAAACCCAUGGAAGAUAAAAAAAAGAAAACAUAAAAUGAAUUUGCACUUUACCUAAUUAAGGAAAUGACCACUCGGUGUAACUUAUAUAGUCACAUUAUCAUGCAAUAUGAACAUAUUUUAUGAUUUGUUAUGAUAAUUAUGUAUAUUUGUGAUAAAAAACAUAAUUUUACCGUGCAUUUGGAGUCUUUUCUUAAUGCAUUAUUGACGGGAUCGGCGUUUCAUUUCCUCUUGGAGCCCACAUUCGUGGUCUCAUCAUCACUUCAGAGUCUCCGCCUCUCAAUCACUCCAUCUCCCUCGCUCCCCUUUUCCUCUUUUUUUUCCCUCUCGCGGUGACCUUGAAGGUGUUCCUCCCGCGUUCCUUCAGACCCGCAGAACUCUCCGUUUCUUUUUCUUCUCCCUUCCCCUUCCUCCGUUUUCAUUAGCGGGCUCAGUCGGCCUGCCUAGGGACAGCCGGCUGCUGCGCUCACGUUACAGGCCUAUUGACUUCGGAAGAGAGGGGGGGAAAUACUGUGGACAUGAUUCACCAUGCAUGAACCUCGUGAUAGCACUUUAAUCUGUGCCUUCUUCUUUUCAAUGGAGAACGGCGCAUGAUAAACCACAAGGCAUUUUUAUUUUUUAUCACCCUCACUUCAGGCAUGUCAGUAAUCAGAUACGUAGCCCGAGCUAAUUAAAUAUGGGGAGAUACUGCCAUGCAGUCACACUUUAGCACAGUUAAAAAAAAAAGGACAUGACUUGACACAAAGUGCGUCACCUCAACGAAGCGGUUAGACUUUAAGUUCUUCGGUUCAGCAGACUUACCCGAACCUGCGAUGAAGUUAUUAUUUUUCACCAGGCGAUAAUCAAUGCGGCAUUUCAAUGUUGAAAUAUCGCCACAGUCCAAAAGGUGAUCAAAUAAAGGGAAAACAUUUUUUUGUGGUAAUUGAUUUUUGUUUUCCUUCAUUAUGCAGGCUGAACUCCCAUACUGAUGACAAAGCUUGUGAAUGGAACAUGGAGCUGUGUGCUAAUCUGGCACCACAUUGUGCAUUAACAUUCAAUAACCUUUGUAUAUAAAUUGUAAGCGCAUUAAAUCAGGUUGUUGUGUCGACGAGUUAUGCUUCUCUUAUGAGCUCUAAAAGCGACGACGAAGGCCCUGGCAGGAGGGGGGAUGGCCUCAGAGGUGGAGGGGUGUUUUAUCACACUUGCACCCGGGUAAUUAACCAGGACUGCCCUGGAAUCUCUUCUCCUGUGUCCGUCCUCCGCCCUUCAUCCCUCUCCUGCAGUGUGGAAGGGCGGGGUGGGCGUAGUCUCUCUCCCUAUCUGCAGCUGCACAAACCAGGCUUUGAACUCUGUGGCGUUAUGAUAAUCAAAAAGUGGAAUGCGUUUCCAUUUUGCUCAAUGCUGCAUCACGCUGUACUCUAUAUUUACACAUGUGUUUUUUUUUGUUUUUUUGACCAUAUAUUUCUGGAAGGAGUUGGGGAUGAAUUUGGUGGCGCGCUUAGCAGCUCGUAUCCCAGUGAUGAUGCACCUGAUAGGUUGGCAGGCAUACAGCAAUCAGUUAAAUGACAGACAGACAGGCUCAGAGCACAGCUGCACAGCGCAGUCUAAGCCAAUUGUGUGACAAUCAGAGGCUGCUAUUUUAGGUUUCCCUCCCCCUACAGAGAACAGAUUUCAGUGAAUCAGUUGGCCCUCAGGCGUCAUAAUUAUGCAAAAAGUUCAGCAGAGAAAAGUUAUUUGUUCCACUAUUGUUUUGCCUUUCUUUCUUAUCGCUUAAUCGUCUGAGGAAAGUGGUUGUGGUAAUGUAGAGAGAGGUGUGAGAUUUUGUUGACUAUAAACAUUAGACUUGAAAGCAAUUUGGAAGUUAGAUUAGAAAUACAUCUAUAUGUACUGAAUUUGGAGACAUGCAAAUGGCUACAAUUUUGCAAUUCAAAUCAUUUUUUGUUUUUUUUUUACUAAAGAAAGCUUCUAUUUCCAGCCUAGAUUUUUCAAACGCCCCGAGACUUAUGAUGCAGAAAUGCCUUUAAUCGUGUACCCUUAAGUAAUAUCAAAUCUGUGUGCUAGAGGCCAGCCUGUGAUCGCCACCAGGGAGAUUACCUGGUGACCACCAGCCGGAAUACAUAGCGGGCGGACGACUCGAACCCCGCCGGCUAACCCCAAGCCGAGCGCUCGCUCGGGGAGGAGGCCCGUGGACUCGGGUGUAAAUUAGUUAAUGGCGUCUAAUUCAAUGCAAAGGUCUAUUCGUUUAGCUCCCGCUCUCAUUACAAUGUGUACGUGGAGAGUCCCGUCGGACGGCUAAAUGCAAAACGGCGAGACGCUACGGAGCACGAUGCAGAUGCUCUAUUUGGAGUUUGCACAUCUGUUGUGCCGGCGGAGAGCUGGGGAUGUGGUGCCUUGACGUCUUUCCUCCGUAUGGACGAGGGAAUAUUUGACAAAAGAUUCAGUCAUCUUUGCUGCAUUCUGUGUACACCGUUUAAAUAAACUUAAACAAAGAAUGGGAAAUUACGUUUUUUAUUUGUUCAUAUAGCGACGUUACAUACAUAUUUUUAUGUAUUUACUUCACGUCACGGCGAAUAUUUUCAGGAAUGAGCCAACUAUUCCAAAUUGUUCGGGUGAACCGCAGUUCAACUCCAUUUCGGCCAAUGGACAACGGGACCUCAUUCGUGUUGGCUGCUAAUGUCCAGGGCGCCAAUUACGCUCAACAAAUCCGCUGAUUGAGGGGCCGACUAGAAGAGCGGUGGGCUGGUGUCCUGGAUGUUUUUAGAAUCCUGUUCAGGAGAGCAGAGCACUUGUGUAAGUGUUUGUUAUUCUAGUUUAAUUAUGUCCACGGGGCCCGGGAGUGUGGGCCAAUCUUACGCAGCGCCUCUUUAGCUCGAGCCACAGCGGACUGGCUUGAUGUCUUCCUCUUCUUUCCUCUGCACUGAAUGAGCAAUUAAAGGUCAUAUCAAUUAGAGCAUGUUGUGGUCUCCAGACUCAUUUUGAAACAGCUUGCUCCUGUUGCGCCGUCGAAGAAGGAAUGAGUAUACAAAUGGAAAGCUUGGCCUUCCUCGGUUAAAUGUUAUUUUUUAAAUAUUUGGAAUAAAUCUCGGCUGCAGCAUUUUGGGGGCAGAGCGGUAAUGAGUGGCUCGGCUCGGGCUUCACGUCAUGGAGAAUAUACGCUGGGCCGUAUGCAAAUAUGCAGCCGUCCUCAAUUAAUUAAAACCCAAAGUAAAACACAGCGUAUGAUAAUCAAAAAUCAUCAACAUGAAAUUA
Gasterosteus aculeatus aculeatus (three-spined stickleback) is the source of this 5256-nucleotide long non-coding RNA. NCBI's taxonomy places the organism in Eukaryota, Metazoa, Chordata, Actinopteri, Perciformes, Gasterosteidae. The record is from Ensembl.